This 278-nucleotide long non-coding RNA is filed under the name Gossypium barbadense (sea-island cotton). RNAcentral describes it as "long non-coding RNA (GBAR_LNC008974)". Lineage: Eukaryota; Viridiplantae; Streptophyta; Magnoliopsida; Malvales; Malvaceae. The record is from RNAcentral.
UUAGUGAGGAGGUCUUAAAUAGAAAUUUGACCAAUUUUAAGUUCAUGGACAAAAUUAGGAGAUGGAAGGAAUUUUUGGAAAGUUUAGUAGUAAGGGUAUUUUGGUCAUUUAGUUAUUAAAAUGAAUUAAAAACAAAAUUAAAAGCCAAUUUUUGUCCAUCUUCAUUAGGCCGAAAUUUCAAGGGUUCUCCAUAGCUAGGGUUUGUUUCAAGCUUCCAAGCUCCAUAGUAAGUGAUUCCAAGCCCCGUUUUUAAUGUUCUUUACAUUUUUGGAAUCCCA